Molecule: ribosomal RNA, 36 nt
Filed under: Brongniartia ulbrichiana
Lineage: Eukaryota; Viridiplantae; Streptophyta; Magnoliopsida; Fabales; Fabaceae
Description: partial 26S ribosomal RNA
Source: RNAcentral
ACGGGCGGCGUUCGGUCGCCCACAACGGGACCUCAG